Molecule: ribosomal RNA, 409 nt
Filed under: uncultured bacterium
Lineage: Bacteria
Description: bacterial SSU rRNA
Rfam family: Bacterial small subunit ribosomal RNA
Source: RNAcentral
AGUGAACGCUGGCGGCAGGCCUAACACAUGCAAGUCGAGCGGCAGCGGGUCCUUCGGGAUGCCGGCGAGCGGCGGACGGGUGAGGAAUGCGUCGGAAUCUGCCUCUUUGUGGGGAUAACGUAGGGAAACUUACGCUAAUACCGCAUAUGACCUACGGGUNAAAGUGGGGGACCGCAAGGCCUCACGCAGAGAGUGAGCCGACGUCGGAUUAGCUAGUUGGCGGGGGUAAAGGCCCGACCAAGGCGACGAUCCGUAGCUGGUCUGAGAGGAUGAUCAGCCACACUGGAACUGAGACACGGUCCCAGACUCCUACGGGAGGCAGCAGUGGGGAAUAUUGGACAAUGGGCGCAAGCCUGAUCCAGCCAUGCCGCGUGCGUGAAGAAGGCCUCGGGUUGUAAAGCACUUUUGU